UCGGGAAUUUUGUGCAAUGGGCGAAAGCCUGACACAGCAACGCCGCGUGAAGGAUGAAGUCCCUCGGGAUGUAAACUUCGUAAGAAUAGGAAGAAUAAAUGACGGUACUAUUUGUAAGGUCCGGCUAACUACGUGCCAGCAGCCGCGGUAAUACGUAGGGACCAAGCGUUGUUCGGAUUUACUGGGCGUAAAGGGUGCGUAGGCGGCAUAUCAAGUCACUUGUGAAAUCUCCGGGCUUAACUCGGAACUGCCAAGUGAUACUGAUGUGCUAGAGUGCAGAAAGGGCAACUGGAAUUCUUGGUGUAGCGGUGAAAUGCGUAGAUAUCAAGAGGAACACCUGAGGUGAAGACGGGUUGCUGGGCUGACACUGACGCUGAGGCGCGAAAGCCAGGGGAGCAAACGGGAUUAGAUACCCACGUAGUCCCUGAGCGGGCUGGCAAGGCGCAU
RNAcentral lists this ribosomal RNA (447 nucleotides) under uncultured bacterium. RNAcentral describes it as "bacterial SSU rRNA". It matches the Rfam family "Bacterial small subunit ribosomal RNA", at positions 355 to 825 of the family's 1533-position model. The record is from RNAcentral.